Molecule: ribosomal RNA, 703 nt
Filed under: Mycobacterium sp. P3834
Lineage: Bacteria; Bacillati; Actinomycetota; Actinomycetes; Mycobacteriales; Mycobacteriaceae
Description: bacterial SSU rRNA
Rfam family: Bacterial small subunit ribosomal RNA
Source: RNAcentral
UCAGGACGAACGCUGGCGGCGUGCUUAACACAUGCAAGUCGAACGGAAAGGCCCUUCGGGGUGCUCGAGUGGCGAACGGGUGAGUAACACGUGGGUGAUCUGCCCUGCACUUUGGGAUAAGCCUGGGAAACUGGGUCUAAUACCGGAUAGGACUACGCGAUGCAUGUCGUGUGGUGGAAAGCUUUUGCGGUGUGGGAUGGGCCCGCGGCCUAUCAGCUUGUUGGUGGGGUGAUGGCCUACCAAGGCGACGACGGGUAGCCGGCCUGAGAGGGUGUCCGGCCACACUGGGACUGAGAUACGGCCCAGACUCCUACGGGAGGCAGCAGUGGGGAAUAUUGCACAAUGGGCGCAAGCCUGAUGCAGCGACGCCGCGUGAGGGAUGACGGCCUUCGGGUUGUAAACCUCUUUCACUAGGGACGAAGCGCGAGUGACGGUACCUAGAGAAGAAGCACCGGCCAACUACGUGCCAGCAGCCGCGGUAAUACGUAGGGUGCGAGCGUUGUCCGGAAUUACUGGGCGUAAAGAGCUCGUAGGUGGUUUGUCGCGUUGUCCGUGAAAACUCACAACUCAAUUGUGGGCGUGCGGGCGAUACGGGCAGACUGGAGUACUGCAGGGGAGACUGGAAUUCCUGGUGUAGCGGUGGAAUGCGCAGAUAUCAGGAGGAACACCGGUGGCGAAGGCGGGUCUCUGGGCAGUAACUGAC